GCCGUGGUCGCCGAGGUUGACGACGAAGGCGCCCUCGAGGGGCUGCACGGUGAUCCAGGUCCGGCCGCCGUCGCGCGUGGCCUGGAGGCCGCCGACGAGGUCCUGCAGCAGCAGCGUGAUGGUGCCGGGGUCGGUGUGGCGCUUGAGACCCAGCGUGAGGUCAGGCUGCGGGCACUUGGGGUAGAAGUUGACUACCACCUUCUGGUCCAUGUCCACGCAGGCCUUGGCGAGCGCGUCCGUCUCGAGGCCCAUGGCCUCGGAGAGCACGCCCAGGAGCUUGCACGCCAGCCCCAUCAGCUGCUCGCUGUACCGCUCCACAACUGCCCGCCACGCCGCCGGCUUGUCCGGCCACCGCGAGUAGUCGCGGGACUUCACCGGGUACGAGAAGUAGGUCACGAUCUCACGCCAGUCCUGCACGGCCUCCCCCUGCAGAACCACACGUGUGUAUUGUGUUCGUCUAUCUUUUUUUUAUUUAUUAAAAAAAAAAUCAGUAUAUGCCUGGAGGUGGCUGGAGACGAUGAAGCCGCCCUUCUUGCCGCCGGACAUGUCGAACCGGAGCUUGUCCUCGGCCGGGAGCGCGAAGAAGUCGCGCGCGAGGCGCGCCAUCUCGGCGACCAGCGCGGCGUCCACGCCGUGGUCCACCACCUGGAAGAUGCCCCAGUCCUCGCAGGCCGCGGCGACUCGCGCACGGAUCUCGGCCCGCCGCGCGCCUCCGCCGUCGAUGCCCUCGAGCGACACCACCGGCACUUCGUCGCUGAAGCGGUCGUGCGGCACUUUGGGGCGCUCGUCCUCGUCACGCACGAACGACGCGCGCAGCGUCGACUCCCCCGCCGCCGCCGUCGGGAGGAACGGGACCGCGCCGAUGCUCACCGGGGCCAGCAUGUGGCCUGCUCUCUGUCUGCGUCCUCCUCCUCCUCCUCGUGCUGCGCCGCUCGGAUCGUGAUGCUGCCGUGGGAGUGGGACGUGCCGCUGCUGCUGUGCUCUAUACCAAGGCCUGGUCAGUGUUAGCGUUAUAUAGCAGCAUGGCGUGGAGACGCGAGACACGCAGUUGCACUGGCCCCGCCACGUAAGCUCGGUGGUGGCUGGCUAGCUACUGGCUACUGUUGGCUGGCUACUGGCUGCUGCUGCAAGUCGUAGCUGACAGUACAUCCGCGCGACCCAGGCACAAAACUGAACGUUCUUUUUUAAUUAUUUCAACUACAAAAAACUGUACACAACAGUACUUCACUAUUUUAUCGAGUACUAGUUAUGUAUCCUUUCUAUUUGUUGUAUGGCAAGUGUGCUGCCUAACUCUCAGUCUCAACCGCCGACUCUUGACGGGCGCGCGCGUGUACGUACGUGUAGCUAGCUACCGUUCCACGCCUCGUGCGCGGUCCAAUUAAUAGACAUGUUAGCGGAGUAUGAAGACGUUGUGCCUGAGCGCGCGUACGUGGUAGACCAGUCCGGGAACGCAUCUGCACGCAACGCAUGAUAGGUCGUCGUCGCGGGGUUCUGACUUCGGGGGUGCCGGUUUGGUUUCAAAAACCGGUAGAAUUCAUUCAUUGACAAGCACUGCCGAACAGCUACACAUGACUGUUAGAACUGGAUAUUCGGUUUAAACCGAAUGUUCGGUUCGAUUUAUGAAAACUUUGGUUUUCACUAAUUAGAAACAGUUCGAUUUAAUUUAGAACUAGAAACCGAUAGCUUCAAUUUUAGUUCUUUACAAUUCGGGUUUUAGUUAAAAAUUGAGUAGACCAAAGUGAUUUGCAUAACAGACACCUCUAACACACAACACAUUAACAGACUGUUGUUAGAUCGGCUCACAUCCGCCACCGCCCAUCACACACUAGCUAGGCCACAUCGCCCCCCUCCACCGGUCCACCCCAUCGUUCGCAUGCCGCACACUAGGCCGCGCCUCGACCCCGCUCGCCGUUUGCACCACGCAUGGCCGCACUAGAGGACGCCGUCUAACCGACUCGAUCACCUUGUCGCCUGCAGGCGGCUUAGCUCAAAGCGGCAAGCGCGGAUUCUGGCUAGCUUUCACUCCCAUGCGCCAUUGCCAGAUGGAGAUGGAGAUGGAGAUGGAGAUGGAGACGGGGUCACGGGAUGAGGAGCUCAAAGUAGCGCAGUUGCCAGUUGUGCUCUAUAACUAGUGACUCUGUGGAACGGUGGGAGUGGGUUGUGCCGCGUAAUUGGGCUGAGGUGGGCUACCACUCUGUGCUGCGUGGAAGCGGAGGGGAUUAACCGUCGCUAAGCAGACAACUUAUUUUUUUGUUCAGUGGCCCGACUCUAUCGGUUUGAACGGUUCUUUGUCGGUUCGGUGUUGAGUAGAAACCAAAACUAGAGCCUGUAACCAAAACUCCUAGAAUAAAAAAACUAAAAUCGUAUCGAAAAAACCGACAGUUUGUUUGGCUCGGAUACUGUUUGACUUUCGGUUUUGGUCUAAGGGCAUGUUUGAACGGUGGCUGCACUAUGUCACACCGCGCUGCACUUUGGGCAGUCGUUUGCUUCAGUGUCGCAGUUGUGGUAUGAUGCAGCGGCACGAUGCUCCACUAGUUCAAUUUUGCUGCCCAACCUUGUCAUGCGGCAGCAAAUUUCAAUGCUCACUUUCGGCGUGGAGACAGAUGUGAUACGACGUACUGAGACGGCGUCCAAACGCGCCCCAAAUUAGCCCAACUGACAUGCAGACGGUUAGGUCACUAUGCUUGCUAGUUCUUGCAUGCAGUUUAGGAAGUAGUCAUUUGCUCAGUGAAGCCCACAACUGCUAGAUCAGAGUAAAAAUUGCAGGAACAGAGGAAGAACAGUCACACGGAUAUGCUUGCCAAAAACCAAAUCAUCCGUCUACCCAUACAAGUACACAAGCAAACGAAGCUUUGGAGGCCUACUUGCCUGAGCCCCUUAUGCACGCAAGGAGCUCGAACCAGAGAUUGCAGACAUAUAGGCUCUCGUGUAUUAAAAGAAACAAAGCUUUUACAUAUGGGUCAUCCGUCCAUGUAUAUAUCUGGAACUGCAGAUCCGAUAAUUAAUACAUAUGAAAUACAUUUCCAAAGAAAAAGAAAGAAAUGCAUAGUUUUCUCGCAGGCACAGUAGCAGGAGCAGGCGCUGCCUUAGUUUCAGUCUCCACACAUUAUUUCGCAGCGCUUAACUUAAUCGCCACACGCUCGUAUAUAGCAAUGUUCUUAGUUAUAAAUGAAAUCACACGCGACGAUAUAAAACCGUGGAUCAAUGGAUCAGUCGCCUUAUCAGGCAAGAAUGUCGUCGAGAGGCUUGGCGUUCGGCACGGCGAAUUCCUUGGCAGUCGGCACGGCGAACUCCUUGGCAAUCUUCUGCUGCUUCUCAGCCUUGGCCUGCUUCUUGAGCUUGGCGAGCUCGAUGUCGCGUGCCAUCUUGCGGCGGUACAUCUCGGCGAAGGUGAUGGGAUCGUCCAGUAUGGGCGCCUCCCCCUCCCGCACGGCCAGCGGGUACACCGUCGCGUCGGGUGCCGGGUUCUGGAACGUGGCGAUGGACAGGCGGCUGCACUCCGAGUUCACCACCGCCUGGUGAUCCGCAUUCUUGAACCUGCCGUUGCUCAGGAGCUGCACACGUUCGUCAUAUAAAUGUGUAAGCGCCAGCUUGCAGUUCAUCACACAUUGCCGAAACAGACGAACGAACGGAGACUACUCACGUGGCCGUGGUCGCCGAGGUUGACGACGAAGGCGCCUUCGACGGGCUGCACGGUGAUCCAGGUCCGGCCGCCGUCGCGCGUGGCCUGGAGGCCGCCGACGAGGUCCUGCAGCAGCAGCGUGAUGGUGCCGGGGUCGGUGUGGCGCUUGAGACCCAGCGUGAGGUCAGGCUGCGGGCACUUGGGGUAGAAGUUGACUACCACCUUCUGGUCCAUGUCCACGCAGGCCUUAGCCAGCGCGUCAGUCUCGAGGCCCAUGGCCUCG
RNAcentral lists this long non-coding RNA (3905 nucleotides) under Sorghum bicolor (sorghum). RNAcentral describes it as "long non-coding RNA (SBIC_LNC011484)". Lineage: Eukaryota; Viridiplantae; Streptophyta; Magnoliopsida; Poales; Poaceae. The record is from RNAcentral.